ACGUAGGUGACCAGCGUUGUCCGGAUUUACUGGGCGUAAAGGGCUCGUAGGCGGCCAACUAAGUCGGACGUGAAAGCCCUCGGCUUAACCGAGGAACUGCGUCCGAUACUGGAUGGCUUGAGGUUGGGAGAGGGAUGCGGAAUUCCAGGUGUAGCGGUGAAAUGCGUAGAUAUCUGGAGGAACACCGGCGGCGAAGGCGGCAUCCUGGACCAAUUCUGACGCUGAGUGAGCGAAAGCUAGGGGAGCAAAC
RNAcentral lists this ribosomal RNA (250 nucleotides) under uncultured bacterium. RNAcentral describes it as "partial 16S ribosomal RNA". It matches the Rfam family "Bacterial small subunit ribosomal RNA", at positions 525 to 773 of the family's 1533-position model. The record is from RNAcentral.